Gasterosteus aculeatus aculeatus (three-spined stickleback) is the source of this 1275-nucleotide long non-coding RNA. The record is from Ensembl. Lineage: Eukaryota; Metazoa; Chordata; Actinopteri; Perciformes; Gasterosteidae.
CAGAAUCUGGUUGUCCUUAAUGGGUGUAGAUUGGAUUCUGCCUCCCGUCCUUUUUACAGGCUCCUUCACUCACACACAGACAGAGCUGCAGUGCUAUUCUGAGAGAGUUAGCUGCCUCAACCCACGCACAGAAUCUGAGGAAGGCAGAACGAGAGAGAAUAGAGGAGAAGGACACGGAACAAGAGGAAUGAAGGAGUGAGAAAGAGACUGUGAAGGAGGUUUAAAGAAUUCCCACUAUAGUCUCUCCACAUGCACGCAACGCCUUUUACAGUUUUACAUUUUGCCCCCUUUUAACUGCUCCAACAGCGGCUGAUCCACAGUCUCGAUUAGCGCUCUUCUGCGCGGCGCUGCCUGCAAAUUGCAGGUCUGUUUUUGCGACGCUGUUUGUGUGAUGUGCUGUGUUGUAUUGCGGACACAUUCCAGGUGGGGUCGACGUGUAAACUCGUGUGAGAAAAUCUGGAAAUCAAGCAGAACAUUUAGAGACGACAGAGGGAGACUUUUGAAACAGUCGGUUGGAGAACCGCUGCCUUUUGUGUUUCUCGUUUUUUCUCCCCCUGAACUCUCCUCAGAAGGUCAGAGGAGCAUGUAACUGAAACAAGUGGAGCCCUCGGUGAUUUCAGCAUUCUGUCUCCCCCAUCUGUGCCUACUUUCUCCGCUACAGAUAGGGACAUUUUUGAUAAUUACAUAUAAUUAUAAUUUCUGUGGGAGACGGAUCUGCCUCUGUCUAUUAUUGCCAACACCUCCGACACAAUAACUUCACACAUUUACAUAUUUCUCAACAAAAGUGAUAUUCUUUGAACAAAUCAGGAAUGAUUUUACUUCGAGAGACAUGUCACAUGGAGAUGCAAUGUCUCAUUCAGUUCACAUGUAAUUAAUGAUUCCGUUGAAUGACGGGUAACUUUUUGUGGCUAAACGCUGAAUAGAGAGCAUUUAAAAUCCAGAACGUUUGCCUCAUUUUGCAGCGCUGGGAGUCAGUUCCUUGGUUUAUGCUUACUCUUGAUUUUCAUCUGUUUCAGUCUUCUAGCACUCAAGCUGAGUUUCCCUCAUUAUCGCCCCCCUGCUCAAUCACAGUUGCGGUCGGUACCAGACGACGACGGAUGCACAUGAAUCCAACACCGGAAAAGAUUGAGAUAAAGAACACGGUGUAUCUACAGAUGUGGCGUUGAGAUUCGUGCUCUAGAGAGGCUCAGCAUCCUUAACAGACAUCUGUGUCUGUUGACCCCAUUUGAUUACUUACAAUGCUGAUAAACCCAAUAUAUAGGAAGUGCGUUAUAG